CUUGUUCUCGUUCAAAACAUCCUCAUUGAUUCAAAAAAAUAUCAUCACAUAAAGAUUAGAUCUUCAAGGCAAAACAAAAGAAUCGAAAUCAUGGGUAAGGGGUUUUUGAGAGUCUUGUUUGCUGCUCUUAUGUUGGUUUUGGUUAUGAUGUCUGCUGCACCACAUACUGUUAAUGCCGGUGAGCCAAGUUGGGGUAAUAUCCCUGAGGAUGCGGACGGUCAAUGGGACGAAAAUGAUGGAUGAAACUAGUCACUGCAUACUAGUACUGCAAAAGCGCGUCAAGUUUUUAAUUACAUAAAUAAAUGAUUUGCAUAUAUUUGCAAGUGUGUGCUCUGUAAAAGGAGGUGAACUCUGCAGCUGCUAUUGUGGUCUUCUUAUAGACGACCUUGGGCUCAUUUGUCGCUGCUUGAGUCGCAGUAAAAAUUUAAUAUAAUCUAUGUGUGUUUGUGCGUGAGCAAAUUCUUAUCGGUAUGGUGUUCCUCUAGUGUUGCAUUUUCUCCAUUCAAGGAAGGAUAAUGGAGAAUGAAUAUAGGUUUGGUUUUUGA
Papaver somniferum (opium poppy) is the source of this 545-nucleotide long non-coding RNA. RefSeq lists it as uncharacterized. The record is from RefSeq and is a predicted model, not a curated record. Lineage: Eukaryota; Viridiplantae; Streptophyta; Magnoliopsida; Ranunculales; Papaveraceae. The transcript is spliced from 2 exons.